CUGGCGCGCCUACCAUGCAAGUCGAACGGUAACAGGAAGCUCUUGCUGCUUUCCUCACCAGUGGCGGACGGGUGAGUAAUGUCUGGGAAACUGCCUGAUGGAUGGGGAUAACUACUGGAAACGGUUACUAAUACCGCACAACGUCGCAAGAUGGGGAGGGGGACCUUCGGGCCUCUCGCCUUCGGAUGUGCCCAGAUAGGAUUAGCUUGGGGGUGGGGUAACGGCUCGCCUAGGCCACUAUCCCUAGCUGGUCUGAGAUGAUGACCACCCACACUGGAACUGAGACACGGUCCCUACUCCUACGGGAGGCGGCAGUGGGGAAUAUUGGACAAUGGGCGCGAUCCUGAUGCGCCCAUGCCGCGUGUAUGAACAACGCCUUCGGGUUGUAUUGUACUUUCAGCGGGGAGGAAGGCGUUAAUGUUAAUAACCUUGUCCAUUGACGUUACCCGCAGAACAAGCACCGGCCAACUCCGUGCGGCCGCCAAAAAAAAAAUAAA
Molecule: ribosomal RNA, 497 nt
Filed under: Enterobacter cloacae subsp. cloacae
Lineage: Bacteria; Pseudomonadati; Pseudomonadota; Gammaproteobacteria; Enterobacterales; Enterobacteriaceae
Description: bacterial SSU rRNA
Rfam family: Bacterial small subunit ribosomal RNA
Source: RNAcentral